UACAGAGGUCUCAAGCGUUGUUCGGAUUCAUUGGGCGUAAAGGGCGCGUAGGCUGCGGGGCAAGUCGGGUGUGAAAUCUCAGAGCUCAACUCUGAAACUGCACUCGAUACUGCUUUGCUUGAGGACUGGAGAGGAGAUUGGAAUUCACGGUGUAGCAGUGAAAUGCGUAGAUAUCAGGAGGAACACCUGUGGCGAAAGCGGCUCACUGGACCACAACUGACGCUGAGGCGCGAAAGCUAGGGGAGCAAACAGG
RNAcentral lists this ribosomal RNA (253 nucleotides) under uncultured bacterium. RNAcentral's name for it is "partial 16S ribosomal RNA". It matches the Rfam family "Bacterial small subunit ribosomal RNA", at positions 524 to 776 of the family's 1533-position model. The record is from RNAcentral.